CCCGGAGACACCAGGCCGAGCGCGACCCCACGGCUCGGGCCUGGCACCGCGCGCGCACCCGCACCGCCUGAGCCGGCCAAUCAGGGGCCGGGCAUGCGCAGCCCUCAGGCUCGCUCGCGCGCGGGCCUCACGCGUGAGGACCCCCCCCCAAGCCGAGCCGGCGCGCGCACCCCUCCCCCACGCGCCCAGGCGCGCGCGUGCAACUGUCGUCCCCCGCGACCGCGUCUGCUCCUGCCCCACCCCCAACGCCGACGGGUUGGGGGUGGGGGGGGCCAGUGGCCCCAACACCGGCGCCGGCAAUGCCCAGACCCCUGUCGGUGCAGGCCCUGGAGGGGGCGAGUCUCAAAUAAAGGCUCUGCUCGCGAUGGCAACCAGGGCGGGGAACUGGGGAUGAGGCGACAGGGACUCACCCGAGUGCAGCCGCCUCCAGGCAGCGCCGGGGUCAGGGGUGCCGAAGGGAAGCGAGCGUGGGCCGCGCGCAAACUGCGACCGCAGCGGAGCAGCCUCGGGCUGAGACGGGCUAGCGAGCGGGCAGGAGGCGCGCUGCGCGUGCGCACCCGCAGUGCCGCCCAGCGGGAGUUGUAGUCCCUGAUUCGUCCCCACCAACGCGACGGCGGGAGCGCUGGACUACGAAUCCCAGGAAGCCUCGCGCCGGCAAGCCCGGAGCCGGAGGACGCGGCGAGCGCGGCGCCCGGCCCUCUCGGGCAAGGACUGUCAAUGGAGGCGCGGGUGGUGGGAGCGAGAACAUGGCUGCACCUGGGGCCUGCGCGGCCGCCCGAGUGGGGGAGGGGAGCUGGGGCGCAGGGGUGAAAAUCCAGGCCGCGGGGAGCUUCAUCCUGUUUGCUGACGCGCUCCAGCCGGCCUCAGCCACCGUUCAAGGCUCGCACUCACUCUUGCCCCCGAGAUUCCCUGCAAAUUGAGAGGUCGGAACACUGCAAAGGCCGGGGCUCCCCAGGCCGGCAUGCCUCCUCCCAGGCUCAGCCAAGGGACUUCUCCGCCCUGCACCACCCUCCAGGACACAAAGAACUGUUAGUUUUGAAAGCUUGCCUCAAAAGGGGCUAUUGCCCCAACUUUGGACGGGCGAGGGAAGAGCACCCUUCUGUUUUUGUUUACCCCACCCUUAGGCUUUGCUCACUUUUUCUUAACAUUUAGAAGGGAAGUUAAGGAGGAAAAGCCAAGGAGGGGAGCAGAAAACGUGAUUUGCAGCCCGUUGUGUUCUGUCAACCGCUAAGCCGUCCCCUCCCCCCGGUAAUUUUUUUGCAUCUCAACUUUGAUUAGCUCGUGAAUUUCGAAAAUGGUGAGACGCUAGUGUACGCUCAAGUUAGAAGUUUUUAAAACUCGGGCCCAGAGAUUUUAGAUGUUUCUUUAAAGCACAAAAUCGAGUGAUUUUGCGAUGUUUUUUUCCCACCGGCGAUCUGGGCCACGCCGGCCAUCAUCCCCCUCCCCCUCCUCCUCGGUAGGUGGCGACCACGGCGCUUUCUCCAGCCUUUGUCGCUCGCGAGAAAACUUUCCGAGCUGCAAGUCUUUUGAUGUAGGUCCAAAACCUUUCCUUUGAACUUGGGUUCGCGGAUUGGCGUUCCCCGUCUUCUUUCUUCCGUAGACCGCACCCUUUCCUCAUCUAGAAGUUCCACGGUGGGUUUCUUUAAAAUAGAUGGAGAAUUUAAAGAUCUCUCCGAAGCAA
This is a long non-coding RNA of Sus scrofa (pig), 1681 nucleotides long. RefSeq lists it as uncharacterized. The record is from RefSeq and is a predicted model, not a curated record. Lineage: Eukaryota; Metazoa; Chordata; Mammalia; Artiodactyla; Suidae.